Long non-coding RNA from Manis pentadactyla (Chinese pangolin), 604 nucleotides. RefSeq lists it as uncharacterized. The record is from RefSeq and is a predicted model, not a curated record. Lineage: Eukaryota; Metazoa; Chordata; Mammalia; Pholidota; Manidae. The transcript has 3 exons.
GGAGACCACUGUGAAGUCCUGUGGAAUGACAAGACUAUCAAAUUUCCUGUGGACUAGAUUAUGACAGAGAAUUGGAGAUUCCAUAUAGCCCUGGGACAGGACUCUUGUAUACUGCUUGUUCUUCUAGAUAAAACUCCAAUACAGAUUUCAGCAUGUCAGGACCUUCUUUUGGAAUUCAUUGGGGGUCACUGCUGUAGUCCCAUAUUGACCUGAAUGAAGAGAGGCUGGCCUACAGUAUAAAUCCCAGAAGAGGAGAAAAGGAGACCCAAGGAGAAGCACCUGCUGCAGAGCUCCAGGUCCUACUCCAGGGAUGUGCGAUGCCCAGGGUGCCACACAGUCCCUGCUCUCUUCAGUUGUGCACAAAUGGUAGUUUUGUGUGCUGGCUAUUUCAGUGUCCUCUGCCAGCCUACAGGAGGAAAAACAAAGCUAACAGAAGGGUACACACACACACACACACACACAUAUAGAUAUAUACACACAUAAAUAAAAAUAUAUAAAUAAAUAAUCCAUAAAUAUAAAAACAAAUACAUGGACUUAGUCCCAUUUCUGGCACAAAGCUCCCCAAACCCUUCAAAUUUCCUCAGUGAUAAAAGAAAUAGACGGA